Molecule: long non-coding RNA, 295 nt
Filed under: Manihot esculenta (cassava)
Lineage: Eukaryota; Viridiplantae; Streptophyta; Magnoliopsida; Malpighiales; Euphorbiaceae
Description: long non-coding RNA (MESC_LNC006726)
Source: RNAcentral
UCUGAUCUCUGAACCUGACUACCUUGUCCCUGCAGUCCAAGGUAGCACCAUGGGUAGAUAGCCAAUCCAUCCCUAGAAUGACGUCAAAGUCUGUCAAAUCUAGAACCACAAGGUCGGCGGAGAGGCAUCUUCCCUCAAUAAAAACUGGACUGUACUGGCAGACUGACACUGCCACUGACGGGUCACACUUGGGUCCACUGACCCAUAGGGGACACUCUAACCCAGAGACUAUCAGACCCAACCUCUCAACGGCUCUCGGAGCAAUAAAUGAAUGAGAUGCACCUGGGUCCAUUAA